RNAcentral lists this ribosomal RNA (267 nucleotides) under Triticum aestivum (bread wheat). Its description in RNAcentral is "partial small subunit ribosomal RNA". Lineage: Eukaryota; Viridiplantae; Streptophyta; Magnoliopsida; Poales; Poaceae. The record is from RNAcentral.
AUGAGCUCGGUCGGUAUCCAUCCAUCCGGCGGUCAAGCAGGCCAGGGUCGCAGCCGAGGCGCCGUGGUCACUGAAGCCAUUAAGAACGCGGUGAUGGAUGACCGCGGGCGGGCGCGGGCGACGGUGGAGAGGAAGGGCGGCGGUGGUGCGGAUCUACUGAAGCCGCAGGGUUGGGGGCGGCGCACGGCGGAGGGGCGGUGGCCGGUGCUGGCGGUGGAGGGGCGCACUGGAUCGUGGAGAUGCGCUCGAGGCGGAGAUAUGACCUAA